GGGAUUGCCUUAGUAACGGCGAGUGAAGCGGCAAUAGCUCAAAUUUGAAAUCUGGCUCCUUCGGGGUCCGAAUUGUAAUUUGUAGAGAGUGCUUCGGGCGAGGCUUCGGUCUAAGUCCAUUGGAACAUGGUGUCAUAGAGGGUGAGAAUCCCGUAUGCGACCGUGGCUCGAGCCCAUGUGAAGCCUCUUCGACGAGUCGAGUUGUUUGGGAAUGCAGCUCAAAAUGGGUGGUAAAUUUCAUCUAAAGCUAAAUACUGGCUGGAGACCGAUAGCGCACAAGUAGAGUGAUCGAAAGAUGAAAAGCACUUUGGAAAGAGAGUCAAACAGUACGUGAAAUUGUUGAAAGGGAAGCGCUUGCAACCAGACCUGCCCGUAGGCGAUCAGCCGCUGUUCUCAGCGGUGUACUCGUUCUGCGAUCAGGCCAGCAUCGGUUUCGGCGGUCGGAUAAAGGCCUUGGGAAUGUAGCUCCCCUUCGGGGGAGUCUUAUAGCCCUCGGUGCAAUGCGGCCAGCCGGGACCGAGGACCGCGCUUCGGCUAGGAUGCUGGCGUAAUGGUUGUAAGCGACCCGUCUUGAAACACGGACCAAGGAGUCUAACAUCUAUGCGAGUGUUUGGGUGUUAAACCCAUGCGCGGAAUGAAAGUGAACGGAGGUGAGAACCCUUAAGGGUGCAUCAUCGACCGAUCCAGAAGUCUUCGGAUGGAUUUGAGUAUGAGCAUAGCUGUUGGGACCCGAAAGGUAUAUUUAAUCCCCCCUUGAUUGUAAGAAUUAUAUGCUAACUUUUUCAAAAGAUGGUGAACUAUGCCUGAAUAGGGUGAAGCCAGANGAAACUCUGGUGGAGGCUCGCAGCGGUUCUGACGUGCAAAUCGAUCGUCAAAUUUGGGUAUAGGGGCGAAAGACUAAUCG
RNAcentral lists this ribosomal RNA (904 nucleotides) under Xanthoparmelia subchalybaeizans. Its description in RNAcentral is "partial 28S ribosomal RNA". It matches the Rfam family "Eukaryotic large subunit ribosomal RNA", at positions 71 to 937 of the family's 3401-position model. Lineage: Eukaryota; Fungi; Ascomycota; Lecanoromycetes; Lecanorales; Parmeliaceae. The record is from RNAcentral.